UGUAUAUCAUCUUUUGUACUUGAUGAUUAUAGAUGUUUAAAUAAAAGAACAUGAAUGAUGUAAGAGAAUUUAUGUUUAAAUGCAAAGAGUUAUAUUUUGAGAUAUCAUAUGAUGUAAAAGAGAAGAAAUGAUGCAAAAGAAUGUAAAAGAAUUUUAAGUUGUAUGCAUGUAUGUGGUUAAAAGUUAAUCAUAUUACUUGUAUGAAUGUUUAGAUUAGUAUUUUCACUUUGGCUACUGCUUGCCCUCGUGCAAGCCAAGUAUAUUUAUGUUUCCGUUGUGCAAUUUAUAUACUUGCUCUGUACUUGUUUUGAGCCUUGGGAGGACAGGGGAAGUGCUGUUCGUUCGGCGUCUAUUCGACGUGCCCGAACCGACCAAAUAGGCCGGGCUCGGGAAGUACACUACGCGCUCCAGCACCACUCGCAACUCGGCACACAAAGAAUUCUUCUUUGCAUUCAUCACCCCUUCAGGGAUUACACUUCAAUUCGAUUAUCGACAUUGCUUAGAAGCAAUAUCAC
This 515-nucleotide long non-coding RNA is filed under the name Ananas comosus (pineapple). RNAcentral's name for it is "long non-coding RNA (ACOM_LNC043893)". The record is from RNAcentral. Lineage: Eukaryota; Viridiplantae; Streptophyta; Magnoliopsida; Poales; Bromeliaceae.